Molecule: ribosomal RNA, 461 nt
Filed under: uncultured bacterium
Lineage: Bacteria
Description: partial 16S ribosomal RNA
Rfam family: Bacterial small subunit ribosomal RNA
Source: RNAcentral
GACGAACGCUGGCGGCGUGCUUAACACAUGCAAGUCGAGCGGUAAGGCCUUUCGGGGUACACGAGCGGCGAACGGGUGAGUAACACGUGGGUGAUCUGCCCUGCACUUCGGGAUAAGCCUGGGAAACUGGGUCUAAUACCGGAUAUGACCUCCUAUCGCUUGGUGGGUGGUGGAAAGAUUUAUCGGUGCAGGAUGGGCCCGCGGCCUAUCAGCUUGUUGGUGGGGUAAUGGCUUACCAAGGCGACGACGGGUAGCCGACCGCGGAGGGUGACCGGCAACACUGGGACUGGGACACGGCCCAGACUCCUACGGGAGGCAGCAGUGGGGAAUAUUGCACAAGGGGCGAAAGCCGGAUGCAGCGACGCCGCGUGGGGGAUGACGGCCUUCGGGUUGUAAACGUCUUUCAGCAGGGACGAAGCGCAAGGGACGGUACCUGCAGAAGAAGCACCGGCUAACUACGU